AUACGGAGGGUGCAAGCGUUACUCGGAAUCACUGGGCGUAAAGCGCGCGCAGGCGGUCUUUUAAGUUGGAUGUGAAAGCCUACGGCUCAACCGUAGAACUGCAUCCAAAACUAUUAGACUAGAGUGUGGGAGAGGAAGAUGGAAUUAGUUGUGUAGGGGUAAAAUCCGUAGAGAUAACUAGGAAUACCAAAAGCGGAGGCAAUCUUCUGGAACACUACUGACGCUGAGGCGCGAAAGCGUGGGGAGCAAACAGGAUUAGAUACCCUAGUAGUCC
This 274-nucleotide ribosomal RNA is filed under the name uncultured bacterium. RNAcentral describes it as "partial 16S ribosomal RNA". It matches the Rfam family "Bacterial small subunit ribosomal RNA", at positions 523 to 796 of the family's 1533-position model. The record is from RNAcentral.